Molecule: ribosomal RNA, 451 nt
Filed under: uncultured bacterium
Lineage: Bacteria
Description: bacterial SSU rRNA
Rfam family: Bacterial small subunit ribosomal RNA
Source: RNAcentral
GAUGAACGCUGGCGGCGUGCCUAACACAUGCAAGUCGAGCGAUUUACUUCGGUAAAGAGCGGCGGACGGGUGAGUAACGCGUGGGUAACCUGCCCUGUACACACGGAUAACAUACCGAAAGGUAUGCUAAUACGAGAUAAUAUGCUUUUAUCGCAUGGUAGAAGUAUCAAAGCUUUUGCGGUACAGGAUGGACCCGCGUCUGAUUAGCUAGUUGGUAAGGUAACGGCUUACCAAGGCGACGAUCAGUAGCCGACCUGAGAGGGUGAUCGGCCACAUUGGAACUGAGACACGGUCCAAACUCCUACGGGAGGCAGCAGUGGGGAAUAUUGCACAAUGGGCGAAAGCCUGAUGCAGCAACGCCGCGUGAGCGAUGAAGGCCUUCGGUCGUAAAGCUCUGUCCUCAAGAAGAUAAAUGACGGUACUUGAGGAGGAAGCCCCGGCUAACUACGUG